This 431-nucleotide unclassified non-coding RNA is filed under the name soil metagenome. RNAcentral's name for it is "partial contains 5.8S ribosomal RNA, internal transcribed spacer 2, and large subunit ribosomal RNA". The stretch from base 1 to 120 matches the Rfam family "5.8S ribosomal RNA", at positions 35 to 154 of the family's 154-position model. The record is from RNAcentral.
GAUGAAGAACGUAGCGAAAUGCGAUACGUAAUGUGAAUUGCAGAAUUCAGUGAAUCAUCGAAUCUUUGAACGCAUAUUGCGCUCUCUGGUAUUCCGGAGAGCAUGCUUGUUUGAGUAUCAGUAAACACCUCAACUUCCAUAUCUUUUUUGAAAUGGGAGUUGGACUUGAGUGAUCCCAACGCUUUUCCUCACCGAAAAGUGGCGGGUUACUUGAAAUGCAGGUGCAGCUGGACUUUUCUCUGAGCUAUAAGCAUAUCUAUUUAGUCUGCCUAAAAAACAGAUUAUUACCUUUGCUGCAGCUAACAUAAAGGAGAUUAGUUCUUGUGCUGACUGAUGCAGGAUUCACAAAGACAGCUUCGGCCGACUUUGUAAACUCGAUCUCAAAUCAAGUAAGACUACCCGCUGAACUUAAGCAUAUCAAUAAGCGAGGA